UGGGGAAUUUUGGACAAUGGGCGCAAGCCUGAUCCAGCAAUGCCGCGUGCAGGAAGAAGGCCUUCGGGUUGUAAACUGCUUUUGUCAGGGAAGAAAUCCUCUGGGUUAAUACCUCGGGGGGAUGACGGUACCUGAAGAAUAAGCACCGGCUAACUACGUGCCAGCAGCCGCGGUAAUACGUAGGGUGCGAGCGUUAAUCGGAAUUACUGGGCGUAAAGCGUGCGCAGGCGGUUGUGCAAGACAGGUGUGAAAUCCCCCGGGGCUUAAACCUGGGAACUGCACUUGUGACUGCACGGCUAGAGUACGGUAGAGGGGGGAUGGAAUUCCGCGUGUAGCAGUGAAAUGCGUAGAUAUGCGGAGGAACACCGAUGGCGAAGGCAAUCCCCUGGACCUGUACUGACGCUCAUGCACGAAAGCGUGGGGAGCAAAACAGGAUUAGAUACCCUGGUAGUCCACGCCCUAAAACGAUGUCAACUGGUUGUUGGACGGCUUGCUGUUCAGUAACGAAGCUAACGCGUGAAGUUGACCGCCUGGGGAGUACGGCCGCAAGGUUGAAACUCAAAUGAAUUGACGGGGUCAUAGCUGUUUCCUG
RNAcentral lists this ribosomal RNA (592 nucleotides) under uncultured bacterium. Its description in RNAcentral is "partial 16S ribosomal RNA". It matches the Rfam family "Bacterial small subunit ribosomal RNA", at positions 355 to 1376 of the family's 1533-position model. The record is from RNAcentral.